UGGUCAGCGCUCUGUGCUUAAACAAAGAGCGGUUCCCUCAUUCCUGGCAGCAGGCUCCUCCGUCCAGCCAUGUACACCGCAGGGGACGACUGCCUCAAAGGGUGCGGUUCCCUCAUCCCUGGCAGCAGGCUCCUUCUUCCAGCCAGGUACACCGCAGGGGACGAGUGG
Molecule: long non-coding RNA, 168 nt
Organism: Ixodes scapularis (black-legged tick)
Lineage: Eukaryota; Metazoa; Arthropoda; Arachnida; Ixodida; Ixodidae
Exons: 3
Source: RefSeq, a predicted model, not a curated record